Molecule: ribosomal RNA, 253 nt
Filed under: uncultured bacterium
Lineage: Bacteria
Description: partial 16S ribosomal RNA
Rfam family: Bacterial small subunit ribosomal RNA
Source: RNAcentral
UACGAAGGGGGCUAGCGUUGCUCGGAAUUACUGGGCGUAAAGCGCACGUAGGCGGCUUCUUAAGUCGGGGGUGAAAUCCUGGAGCUCAACUCCAGAACUGCCUUCGAUACUGGGAGCUCGAGUCCGGGAGAGGUGAGUGGAACUGCGAGUGUAGAGGUGAAAUUCGUAGAUAUUCGCAAGAACACCAGUGGCGAAGGCGGCUCACUGGCCCGGUACUGACGCUGAGGUGCGAAAGCGUGGGGAGCAAACAGGG